CUACCGGAGGCAGCUGUGGGGAAUAUUGCACAAUGGGCGCAAGCCUGAUGCAGCCAUGCCGCGUGUAUGAAGAAGGCCUUCUGGUUGUAAAGUACUUUCAGCGGGGAGGAAGGGAGUAAAGUUAAUACCUUUGCUCAUUGACGUUACCCGCAGAAGAAGCACCGGCUAACUCCGUGCCAGCGGCCGCGGUAA
RNAcentral lists this ribosomal RNA (192 nucleotides) under uncultured bacterium. Its description in RNAcentral is "partial 16S ribosomal RNA". It matches the Rfam family "Bacterial small subunit ribosomal RNA", at positions 339 to 523 of the family's 1533-position model. The record is from RNAcentral.